Molecule: small RNA, 128 nt
Filed under: Marmota monax (woodchuck)
Lineage: Eukaryota; Metazoa; Chordata; Mammalia; Rodentia; Sciuridae
Source: RNAcentral
GCCAGGUGUGGUGAAGCACACCUGUAAUCCCAGUGGCUCAGGAGGCUGAGGCAGGAGAAUCAUGAGUUCAAAGCCAGCCUCAGCAACUUAGCUGAGGCCCUAAGUAACUCAGGGAGACCCUGUCUCUA